This 358-nucleotide ribosomal RNA is filed under the name Cynoglossus feldmanni (river tonguesole). RNAcentral's name for it is "partial 12S ribosomal RNA". It matches the Rfam family "Bacterial small subunit ribosomal RNA", at positions 801 to 1362 of the family's 1533-position model. Lineage: Eukaryota; Metazoa; Chordata; Actinopteri; Pleuronectiformes; Cynoglossidae. The record is from RNAcentral.
AAACAACGAUAUUCCUAAAUUCAAAUAUCCGCCCGGGAAAUACGAACAUUAGUUUAAAACCCAAAGGACCUGACGGUGCUUAUACCCCCUAGAGGAGCCUGUUCUAUAAUCGAUAAUCCCCGUUAAACCUCACCCUCUCUUGUCAACCACAGCCAGUAUACCUCCGUCGUCAGCUUACCCUGCUAAGGCCCAAAAGUAUGCGAAAUUGGUACUCAUAGCCCAAAACGUCAGGUCAAGGUGCAGCUUAUGGGAGGGGAAGAAAUGGGCUACAUUGGCUAACAUAGUCUACCACGAAUAACAUGAUGAAACCUCAUGUAUUGAAGGAGGAUUUAGUAGUAAGUAAAAAAUAGAGUGUUAC